RNAcentral lists this ribosomal RNA (329 nucleotides) under uncultured bacterium. RNAcentral's name for it is "bacterial SSU rRNA". It matches the Rfam family "Bacterial small subunit ribosomal RNA", at positions 568 to 898 of the family's 1533-position model. The record is from RNAcentral.
CGCGUAGGCGGAUUAGUAAGUUGGGAGUGAAAGCCCGGGGCUUAACCUCGGAACUGCUUUCAAAACUGCUAGUCUUGAGUGAAGUAGGGGGUGAUGGAAUUCCUAGUGUAGAGGUGAAAUUCUUAGAUAUUAGGAGGAACACCGGUGGCGAAGGCGGUCACCUGGACUUCAACUGACGCUGAGGCGCGAAAGCGUGGGGAGCAAACAGGAUUAGAUACCCUGGUAGUCCACGCUGUAAACGAUGAGUGCUAGAUAUCGGGAGAAUUUCUUUCGGUUUCGCAGCUAACGCAUUAAGCACUCCGCCUGGGGAGUACGAUCGCAAGAUUAAA